UGGGGGCAAAGAAAUGGAAGCUAUGGUGAGAAAAUCAAUAUCUCGAACAAUAAAAGAAAGAAGCAGAGGACGAGAAAUGGUGGGUAUGUCAUAGAAGACUAGAAGAGAGCGGGAACUCUUGUGGAUCUGCAAUUUUUGUUAUAGGUAAUGGUGUUGUGGGCCUGCAAUUGUGUAGAGAUACUCUAUUGUAGCCGAGCAAAUGAAUGUCU
RNAcentral lists this unclassified non-coding RNA (209 nucleotides) under Hevea brasiliensis (rubber tree). The record is from RNAcentral. Lineage: Eukaryota; Viridiplantae; Streptophyta; Magnoliopsida; Malpighiales; Euphorbiaceae.